This 994-nucleotide ribosomal RNA is filed under the name human gut metagenome. RNAcentral describes it as "bacterial LSU rRNA". It matches the Rfam family "Bacterial large subunit ribosomal RNA", at positions 1934 to 2925 of the family's 2925-position model. The record is from RNAcentral.
CCGUAACUAUAACGGUCCUAAGGUAGCGAAAUUCCUUGUCGGGUAAGUUCCGACCCGCACGAAAGGCGUAAUGAUUUGAGCGCUGUCUCGACAAUGCACCCGGUGAAAUUGAAAUACCAGUGAAGAUGCUGGUUACCUGCGCCAGGACGGAAAGACCCCAUGGAGCUUUACUCCAGCUUGAUACUGGGAUUCGGUAUUGCAUGUACAGGAUAGGUGGGAGGCUUUGAAUCAUGGACGCCAGUCUGUGAGGAGCCGCUGUUGGGAUACCACCCUUGCGGUAUUGGAUUUCUAACCUGCAGCCGUUAGCCGGCUGGGGGACAAUGUCAGGCGGGGAGUUUGACUGGGGCGGUCGCCUCCGAAAGGGUAUCGGAGGCGCUCAAAGGUUCCCUCAGAAUGGUUGGAAACCAUUCGAAGAGUGCAAAGGCAGAAGGGAGCUUGACUGCGACACCGACGGGUGGAGCAGGUACGAAAGUAGGACUUAGUGAUCCGGUGGUAUGAAAGUGGGAUUGCCAUCGCUCAACGGAUAAAAGCUACCCUGGGGAUAACAGGCUUAUCACUCCCAAGAGUUCACAUCGACGGAGUGGUUUGGCACCUCGAUGUCGGCUCAUCGCAUCCUGGGGCUGUAGUAGGUCCCAAGGGUUGGGCUGUUCGCCCAUUAAAGCGGUACGCGAGCUGGGUUCAGAACGUCGUGAGACAGUUCGGUCCCUAUCCGGCGUGGGCGUAGGAUAUUUGAGAGGAGCUGUCCUUAGUACGAGAGGACCGGGAUGGACGGACCGCUGGUGUAUCUGUUGUACUGCCAAGUGCAUAGCAGAGUAGCCAAGUCUGGAAGGGAUAAACGCUGAAGGCAUCUAAGCGUGAAGCCCCCCUCAAGAUGAGAUAUCCCAUAACGUCAAGUUAGUAAGACCCCUUGAAGACGACGAGGUAGAUAGGGCAGAGGUGGAAGUGUGGCAACACAUGGAGCUGACUGUUACUAAUCGGUCGAGGGCUUGACCAA